RNAcentral lists this ribosomal RNA (591 nucleotides) under Caulobacteraceae bacterium. Its description in RNAcentral is "bacterial SSU rRNA". It matches the Rfam family "Bacterial small subunit ribosomal RNA", at positions 227 to 835 of the family's 1533-position model. Lineage: Bacteria; Pseudomonadati; Pseudomonadota; Alphaproteobacteria; Caulobacterales; Caulobacteraceae. The record is from RNAcentral.
CGGCCCGCGUCUGAUUAGCUAGUUGGUGAGGUAAAGGCUCACCAAGGCGACGAUCAGUAGCUGGUCUGAGAGGAUGAUCAGCCACAUUGGGACUGAGACACGGCCCAAACUCCUACGGGAGGCAGCAGUGGGGAAUCUUGCGCAAUGGGCGAAAGCCUGACGCAGCCAUGCCGCGUGAAUGAUGAAGGUCUUAGGAUUGUAAAAUUCUUUCACCGGGGACGAUAAUGACGGUACCCGGAGAAGAAGCCCCGGCUAACUUCGUGCCAGCAGCCGCGGUAAUACGAAGGGGGCUAGCGUUGCUCGGAAUUACUGGGCGUAAAGGGAGCGUAGGCGGACAUUUAAGUCAGGGGUGAAAUCCCGGGGCUCAACCUCGGAAUUGCCUUUGAUACUGGGUGUCUUGAGUAUGAGAGAGGUGUGUGGAACUCCGAGUGUAGAGGUGAAAUUCGUAGAUAUUCGGAAGAACACCAGUGGCGAAGGCGACACACUGGCUCAUUACUGACGCUGAGGCUCGAAAGCGUGGGGAGCAAACAGGAUUAGAUACCCUGGUAGUCCACGCCGUAAACGAUGAUUGCUAGUUGUCGGGAUGCAUGC